ACCAAUUCCAGCUUGCUAUUAUGGCCACAAAUCUCCCCAAUAGGAGGACACAAAAGUAAUGAUGAUUUCCCAACUGAGAAUAAAGAAAACAAUGGAAAAUAAGAUUGCCUAUCUAUGACAAUGUAUUUAACCAUUAGGUCUCUAUUCUCAAUAGGAGACCAGAAGUCAUCCUGACAUCAUAGAACAUAAUCUGUCCAUUGUCCAGAGUGGUACCACUUAUCUUUGGGGACCAGUAAAUGCAGGAUAGAUUCAGAAAUGGUCCCAUUUUAUGACCUCUACUAUUUUACAGCAUAUAAAUAGUUCCAACUUAUAACUGUACUAGACACCGGCUUUUCUGUGGGUUUCCAUCAACUGGAAUGAAUUUGCACAUAAGUAAAGCUAAAAAUGUUUUUGUGGAGCCUUCAGCUAUAAGAAGAAACAGGUCAUCACUAUGUAGCUCAGAACUACUGUGAUAAAGACAUUGAAGGCAUUCUCAUAGACAGUGAAGUCCUCUGAAGAGAAAAUACUGAGUUGGAAGUGAGAAGUGUCUGAAGAGCUUGAAGAGAACUGAAGAGCUCUCUUAGUCACAGAGCAUUGUUCUCCAUCCAUACCCAAGGAUUUGGAACUCAGAACAUUAUUGGUCAUGACCUCCCUAACUUCUCAAGGAGGUGUUCUUCAGUUUUCCUAUAAAGAUAAUUCAGAUGGAAGUGAUUUCUUGGCAUGAUGCUUCAUCCUUCAAUAUGUUGUUUACAAGAAACACACUUGAAGCAGAGACAUCAACAAA
Sarcophilus harrisii (Tasmanian devil) is the source of this 763-nucleotide long non-coding RNA. RefSeq lists it as uncharacterized. Lineage: Eukaryota; Metazoa; Chordata; Mammalia; Dasyuromorphia; Dasyuridae. The transcript is spliced from 5 exons. The record is from RefSeq and is a predicted model, not a curated record.